AAUAAAUAGAUUAGAAACAUAAUUUAUCGAGAGCUUUUUGAAAAGUAGAUUUAACUUAGUAGCAGAGUAGUUUAUAUCAUUCAAUUUGUCGAUCAAAAUCUGGGCGAGACGUAAACAUUCCACAAAUUGUAACACAUGUAGAGACUUGUCCACAUGCAACAAUUACCGUUGAGCGAAAUCCAAUAAAUUUCUCAAAGCAUAUCAAACAUCCCAAUAUCUGAAGAUAGAGAGAGAGUUGAGAUAGAAUACUAUCGAUAGCAGAUGGACUCUGUUGCUAUCGAUUAGUUUUCGAUGAUGAAGCCUCCAAAUUGACGAUCGGUACUAUUGAACAUGAUCUAUAUUGUAUCUAGAAAAUAAACUUUAUAUGUUUUCGAUAUUAUUCUCUUAUGCAUUAAGAAGAUAUAAAUAUUCUCAUAAUCAAAAUCAAUAGCAUUUAUAUAUAUAUAUAUAUAUAGAAAACAAAUAUCUCCCCUAUACAGAGUAAAGAGAGAAAAUUCAUAAGCCACGAAAAAUAAUAUAAGACUCUCCCCAUAAAUACCACUCCUCACAUACCAAAAAAUAAAAAUAAAUAAAAAAUACAACAAUCAAAUAAACCACAAAUGCGCCAAAUGAAACAAAUCAUUUCCCCCUUCUCCUCCCACAAGAAAUGGGCCAUUUUUUCAAAUCAAUGAGCGAGGAGGGCGAAGAGCGAAACGAGAGCGGCGAUCGCGAGAGCGCGCAGGGCGGGGAUAGUCGCGCCGAGCACCGCGGCGCUCUCCAUCGUCGGCGCCGGCACCGGCGCCGCCGACAAAUCCUCUUCCUCUUGCGCAUUGGCCACGGCCAAUACAACAAACACUGCAACGAGAAGAGCCUUCGUUGAGAGCUUCCUCAUUGCCUCCAUGUAUAAUAAUAAUUCUUCGAGAGAGAGUAGUAGUAGUAGUAGUAGUAAUAUAUUGUAAUAAUAAUGCAAAACUAGAGGGGGGGUUUUGCUUUUGUUUUUUGGGGUGGUGGUUGUGGGGUUUAGGGAGAUGGGGAGGGGCGCGUAUAUAUAGGGAGGGAUUUGGGAAGGGGGGAAUAUAGCCGUUGCGAAAAGGGAAAAGGUGGGGAUUUUGAUUUUGAGAUUUUUCUUUUUUGAAUUCGGGGGUGUGGGGCCCACGAUGGAGUGAAGUAGCCGUUAAGAGCGUACGCGUGGCGAGCGGUGAGUGGUUGCGGUGGUGUGGGGCCCAGCAGUCGACGGUCCAACUUACCGUUGAAAUGUCGGGGCCGGGAUUGCUUGGCGGGCCGGCGAAGCGGCCGACACGCGGAUCGAGGUGAGGUUGCCGUCUGGACGAGGGAAAAAAAAAUAUCUUGAAUGUACCGGAUAUAUAUAUAAGCAGGCUGCUGUGCUCUCAGGUGCACGGAGGCCUCCGUGCUCCUGAGCCGUUUUCGACGAUGGAGUUUUUGAAUCGACGAUCGGCUCCGUUAAACUUGAUCUAGCGUAUUUAAAGUUUCUAUAAAAUAAUUUUUGCGAUUUUUCGAUAUCAUUUACCUAACAAUCGAAAGAAUUCAAAAUCAAUAAUUUUUAACGGCUGAAAAUAAAAAUUCUAUAAAAAGUGGUGAUAUAGCACUAAAAUUUUCGAUCAGAAAUAUAGAUCUUGUUGUAGAUAGUAUAAAGAAUUUUCUAUCAAAAUUUCAUCUGAUUUGAAUAUUUCUACACCGUUAAACUUGAAAACGGCAGAUAUCAACCAUUAAAAAUUAUGGAUUUUGAAUCCUUUCGAUCACUAGGUAAAUGAUAUCGAAAAAUCGCAAAAAUUAUUUUCUAGAAACUUCAAAUGCGCUAGAUCAAGUCUAACGGAGCCGAUCGUCGAUUCGAAAACGGCUCAGGAGCACGAGACUCCGUGCUCCUGAGAGCACAGUAGCCCUGCUCUAUAUAUAUAUAUAUAUAUAUAUAUAUAUAGAGAGUUGAGCUAGAAUACUAUCGGUAGUAAACGAGCCGUUUUACUACUGAUUUGUUUUCGAUGAUAGAACUUCCAAAUUGACGAUCGGCUCCGUUGAACAUGAUCUUAACCACUUGAAGUGUUUAGAAAUCAAAUUUCAAAUCUUUUCAACAUCAUUUGCCUAAUGAUCAAAGGGUUUCAAAAUUUGUAAUUUUAAUGGU
This 2116-nucleotide long non-coding RNA is filed under the name Ananas comosus (pineapple). Its description in RNAcentral is "long non-coding RNA (ACOM_LNC018344)". Lineage: Eukaryota; Viridiplantae; Streptophyta; Magnoliopsida; Poales; Bromeliaceae. The record is from RNAcentral.